This 485-nucleotide ribosomal RNA is filed under the name bacterium C4B6. RNAcentral describes it as "bacterial SSU rRNA". It matches the Rfam family "Bacterial small subunit ribosomal RNA", at positions 401 to 877 of the family's 1533-position model. The record is from RNAcentral.
GUGUGGGAAGAAGGCCUUCGGGUUGUAAACCACUUUUGGCAGGGAAGAAAUGGCCUGUGUGAAUACCACGGGUUGAUGACGGUACCUGCAGAAUAAGCACCGGCUAACUACGUGCCAGCAGCCGCGGUAAUACGUAGGGUGCGAGCGUUAAUCGGAAUUACUGGGCGUAAAGCGUGCGCAGGCGGUUGGGAAAGAUAGGUGUGAAAUCCCUGGGCUUAACCUAGGAAUUGCAUUUAUGACUGCCCGACUGGAGUACGGUAGAGGGGAGUGGAAUUCCGCGUGUAGCAGUGAAAUGCGUAGAUAUGCGGAGGAACACCGAUGGCGAAGGCAGCUCCCUGGACCUGUACUGACGCUCAUGCACGAAACGCGUGGGGAGCAAACAGGAUUAGAUACCCUGGUAGUCCACGCCCUAAACGAUGUCGACUGGUUGUUGGACGGGAAACUGUUCAGUAACGAAGCUAACGCGUGAAGUCGACCGCGCUGGG